CAGUAGCCGCGGGAAUACGGAGGGAGCUAGCGUUGUUCGGAAUCACUGGGCGUAAAGCGCACGUAGGCGACUAUUCAAGUCAGGGGUGAAAGCCCGGGGCUCAACCCCGGAACUGCCUUUGAAACUAGAUAGCUUGAAUCUUGGAGAGGCGAGUGGAAUUCCGAGUGUAGAGGUGAAAUUCGUAGAUAUUCGGAAGAACACCAGUGGCGAAGGCGACUCGCUGGACAAGUAUUGACGCUGAGGUGCGAAAGCGUGGGGAGCAAACAGGAUUAGAUACCCCCGUAGUCCCUGUCUCUUAUAC
RNAcentral lists this ribosomal RNA (301 nucleotides) under uncultured bacterium. Its description in RNAcentral is "partial 16S ribosomal RNA". It matches the Rfam family "Bacterial small subunit ribosomal RNA", at positions 509 to 807 of the family's 1533-position model. The record is from RNAcentral.